CCGUUAGGGGUGCCGAAAUUUAGGCUGAGAUGAAACCCUUUGAACCUGUUGGUUAAUUCUUACGUAGGGAAACGGAGCA
RNAcentral lists this non-coding RNA (79 nucleotides) under bovine gut metagenome. The record is from RNAcentral.